CAGUGUUUUUAGUGACCAACUAAAAGUUAGUAAUGUAUAAGGACUCUGAACUAGGUACCAUAACAAGUUCAAAAAUGUUAUCCCGAAUCUAAUACACGUUCUCAUAUCUAUGAAAUGCAUUCUUGAUGACAAAAAUGACAGUGAAAUCAAGGUUUAAUUAAGAACCAGUAGAAAUGACCUGCUUGAUUGAAAGUUAAGAUAAAAUAGAGUCCGAAUUACUCUAGAAGUACAUCCGUUCAGAUAUAGAGAAUAUGUAUUAUAAUCUAACAAUGUCAUCAUUGUCACGAGUGUAAUGACUAAAGAUUGGAGUUUGUUUGUUUUUAUUUGGUUGACAAUGACCAAUUCAAUUAGUGGUGAUUGACAUCAACAUAUUUCCUGUAAGACGCAUCCCACUCAGGAAGUGCAUAGAUUGUUCUUAGGAAUUCGGAAUAUAUCGCACAACAAAAUUGAGGAGAAAAUACGCAGGGGUAUAGAUAUAGCUAAAAAAGACACCAAAAUAAUUAUACCUAUGUAAAGGGAAUGAAACUUAAAACUCUUCGUAGCCGUUUGAAAAGCAGUACAACACCAUAACUAAAAGCCAGAAAGUCUGACAACCAGACAAAGAGAUAUCUAGUUGUCUGAGUUACUGGAUUGAGAAGAUCAGGUAGGCAGAUGCUCCAUGUAAAACACAGGAACUCAGCUGCAUCCGAUUAGACUGGAAGCCGACCCCAAUAUAGUUGAGUAAAAGAUUAGAAGCAGAUGAUGAAGAAAUAAGCGGUGCCUUUGUACUUGAUUGUUCUAUUUUUUUCUUGUCUCAUCAACUGUCUUCAUCAACUUUUUAACUGUUAAAUAAAUGAUGACUGUACUAUAAAAA
RNAcentral lists this unclassified non-coding RNA (853 nucleotides) under Helicoverpa zea (corn earworm). RNAcentral describes it as "chymotrypsin-1-like, transcript variant X1". The record is from RNAcentral. Lineage: Eukaryota; Metazoa; Arthropoda; Insecta; Lepidoptera; Noctuidae.